GAGUUUGAUCAUGGCUCAGGAUGAACGCUAGCGACAGGCUUAACACAUGCAAGUCGAGGGGCAGCGGGGGCGUAGCAAUAUGCCUGCCGGCGACCGGCGCACGGGUGAGUAACACGUAUGUAACCUGCCCUAUGCAGGGGGAUAACCCGGAGAAAUCCGGCCUAAUACCGCGUAACACCUUUUGGGAGCAUUCCCGGGAGGUUAAAGGAGAGAUCCGGCAUAGGAUGGACAUGCGUCGCAUUAGGUAGACGGCGGGGUAACGGCCCACCGUGCCGACGAUGCGUAGGGGUUCUGAGAGGAAGGCCCCCCACACUGGUACUGAGACACGGACCAGACUCCUACGGGAGGCAGCAGUGAGGAAUAUUGGUCAAUGGCCGAGAGGCUGAACCAGCCAAGUCGCGUGAGGGAAGAAUGUCCUAAGGAUUGUAAACCUCUUUUGUCGGGGAGCAAAAAGGCUCUGCGGAGUCGUAUUGAGAGUACCCGAAGAAAAAGCAUCGGCUAACUCCGUGCCAGCAGCCGCGGUAAUACGGAGGAUGCGAGCGUUAUCCGGAUUUAUUGGGUUUAAAGGGUGCGCAGGCGGCGUGUCAAGCAAGCGGUAAAAUAGCGGGGCUCAACCCCGUCGAGCCGUUUGAACUGGCGCGCUUGAGUUCAGGCGAGGUAGGCGGAAUUCGUGGUGUAGCGGUGAAAUGCAUAGAUAUCACGAAGAACUCCGAUUGCGAAGGCAGCUUACCAGUCUGCGACUGACGCUCAGGCACGAAAGUGUGGGUAUCGAACAGGAUUAGAUACCCUGGUAGUCCACACAGUAAACGAUGAGCGCUAGGUGUCCGGGUCGCAUGAGACUUGGGUGCCCGAGCGAAAGCGUUAAGCGCUCCACCUGGGGAGUACGCCGGCAACGGUGAAACUCAAAGGAAUUGACGG
Molecule: ribosomal RNA, 918 nt
Filed under: uncultured bacterium
Lineage: Bacteria
Description: bacterial SSU rRNA
Rfam family: Bacterial small subunit ribosomal RNA
Source: RNAcentral